RNAcentral lists this long non-coding RNA (3092 nucleotides) under Sus scrofa (pig). RNAcentral describes it as "lncRNA (ENSSSCG00060020876.1)". Lineage: Eukaryota; Metazoa; Chordata; Mammalia; Artiodactyla; Suidae. The record is from RNAcentral.
CUCUGCUGGUCAUGCAAAUAAGGCAGUGUAAUUUAUAUUCUUCUUUUCAAUGAAAGUGCUUUGCACAUAGUAGGUACUCAUUAAAGAUGAAUUCAUUUUUCAUUCAUGUUCAUUGAAAACAGAACUGAAAGUCUGCUACUGGCAUAUAUAAUUUCAAAAAAUCAGACAUAUUAGCGGGCAUAGGAAAAACAAUGGUAAAGUAAAAUAAAAAGGAAUUUUACUUAAAUCAUUUGGUAUACAUUACCGUCUUAAAAGACAUUUAAAUUCACUGUGGGUAAUAUAAGCAGCCAGUUCAACUUUAAAUUCAUUUUUUGUAUAAUAAUUCUGCUACCAAUAUAAAAUUGUGAUUUAUUUCUAGAGAAGUAAAAUAAUCUGUUUAAAUUUAAUGUUAGUAUAAGCAUGGAAUUCUUAAAUUAAUAAAGUGUAUAUUUCAGAGAACUAGCAAUAUAUCUUGACAUGUUCAGAGAUAUACAGUACAUAAAGGUUAAAUAGCAAUGGUAAAAUCUUCCCAGUUAUUUUAGACUUUAGAAGAUAAUAUCUGCAUCCUGAUCCAAUAUGUAUUCAUAUGAUGAAAGUUAAAACCACCUCCACUGUUUUAAUACUGUGAAUAAAUUGCAUUCUUGAUGAUUUUCAUAUUAUCUAUUCAUUCUCAACACUCCUAGAUUCUUACUUAUUAUUUUUAAAUGCUUUGUAGUACCAGAGAAACCACCGUAAAGAAACACAUACUAUUCAUUUCUAUUUGAAAUCAAAUAUCAAGCUUAAAGCAAAAUGACCAACAGUGAACUGUAUUUAAUUUCAUUUUCUUAUGCAGGAACAAAUGCACUAAGUAAUCCAAGCUCAGAGAUACUGGUGUAUGGUAUUUUCAAGCAAUGAAACUAAGCAAGUGUUACUGAGGUUGAAGGUUACCCAGUGUGCACUCUUAGUGCCUGAUGGGAAGAAUAAAGUUAUCAAAAACCCUUUAGCUAUAUUCACAUGAUGCCAAAUUCCUGUCCGAACACUAAAACAUUCUUUUUUGUUUGUUUGUUUUUUAGGGCUGAACACCAAAACAUUCUUUAAAUCAACUGGGUGAAGUUUAUUUAUUUAUGAGGUUUAAAUCCAGGAGGAUAUCAGAGAUUUUUCAGAUCUGUGACAUUUUUCUUGGUAGAGAAAUGAGGAAAAGGACCUAGGGGUUGGGGUUGUGAAGACAUGUAAUGAAUUCAGAAAACUUCAGCACCUUUUCCUUUUAUUACUAAGGUCUCAUGAGAUUUAACUAGAAACUAAUUUUCUAUAAGGAAGUUCUUCAUUUCUAUAUCAUUGUCUCAUUUCUGGUUAUUUUCUUGCCACAGGUAAAAAAUAUGAUGAAAAAAAUCAUCUUGUCUACAUAUAGGUAAUAUGGCAUAUCCUCUGCAUUUCAGAUUUUCAUAAAAGGUAUAAUGCUUAACUUCAAUUUAAUAAUUAUUGCAGAUAUACAAAUUAAAACAUCAAGUGUGUUUGUCUAUUACAUUAGGAAGAUUUAAAAGAUGAUUUACCAAUCACCAUUUACCAUUUACCCAGUGUCAAUAAGUAAGUUUAACAUUAUGACACUAAAAAAUGUCAUCUCAAAACUGUGAUGCAAUAGAUAAAUAGUCCUAUUUCCAAAAUACAGCAACCCAAAUAUCAUUAAAACACUUCUAGGACAAAACAUCUAGAAAUUCUGUAUAAAAUAAUAAUCCUUCUUUUUUAUCAUUUUUGGGGACAACUUCCAAGAAAGAAGAUAAAUUAUUAGAAGACAAAAAGAUUGAAAAUAGGAACCACAGUGGUAAGAAGCAUCAAAUAUACAACUCCUCUGAAGUGGGAACCUCCUGCACUAUUGGUGGGCAUCUAAAUUGAUACAAGUGCUCUGGAAAAGAGUGUGGCAGUUCCUAAAAAAACUAAAAACAGAGCUCUACAAUAUGAUCUAGUAAUCCCAUUCCUGGACAUCUAUCCAGAAAAAAAAGCAUAAUUUGAAAAGAUACAUGCACCCCAAUAUUCAUUGCAACACUGUUUACGAUAGCCAAGACAUGGAAGCAACCUAAAUGUCCAUCAAUAGAGGAAUGGAUAAAGAAGAUGUGGUACAUAUAUACAAUGAAAUAUUACUCAGCCAUAAAAAAAUGAAAUAAUGCCAUUUGCAGCAACAUGGAUGGACUGAGAAGUUAUCAUACAUGUGUGUGUGUGUGUAGGUGAGAAUUCACUGAAACCCCUACUUAAAGACAGAAAAUUUGAAGGCCUGCAUUUUCACCAAAAGUUUAAUGUAAAAAUACUUACUCCUGGAAAAUAGUAAUUACAAAGCACAUUGUUUCAACUUUGUCUCUGGGUGGGGAAGAAAGUCUUUUUAGCGUUUAUAAUCACAGAUAUGUUUUAUUGAGCACUUUGGACUUAUUUGAGUAAUCUGGGAAACCCACAGCUAAAAAUUAAAAUAAUUUGGGUAGCUAGCUCUCUGUGUCACCUGAAAAAAAGUGCAAAUCUUUAUUGGAAGGAAAUAACUUUAACCAAGGGUUCACAUUAUUUGCGCAUGUAAUAUCCAACUGAUAAUGAGCUCAGAAUCCAAGUAAAUAUAUUACCAUGAGUCAGGAGAACAUAAAUCCCCACCCCAGGAAGUUCCUGUUGUGGCUCAGAAGUAAUGAACCUGACUUGUGUCCAUGAGAAUGUGGGUUCAAUCCUUGGCCUUGCUCAGUGGGUCAGGGAUCUGGUGUUGCCGUGAGCUGUGGGUAGGUCGCAGAUGUGGCUUGGAUCUUGCAUUGCUGUGGCUGUGCUGUAGGCCAUCUGCUGCAGCUCCAAUCUGACCCCUUGCCCAGGUACUUCCAUAUACUGCAGGUAAGGCCCUAAAAAAGCAAAUAAAUAAAUAAAUAAAAUUCCCGGAGUUCCCGUCGUGGCGCAGUGGUUAACGAAUCCGACUAGGAACCAUGAGGUUGCGGGUUCGGUCCCUGCCCUUGCUCAGUGGGUUAACGAUCCGGCGUUGCUGUGAGCUGUGGUGUAGGUUGCAGACGCGGCUUGGAUCUCGCGUUGCUGUGGUUCUGGCGUAGGCCGGUGGCUACAGCUCCGAUUCAACCCCUAGCCUGGGAACCUCCAUAUGCCGCAGGAGCGGCCCAAGAAAU